This is a non-coding RNA of Notechis scutatus (mainland tiger snake), 106 nucleotides long. The record is from RefSeq and is a predicted model, not a curated record. NCBI's taxonomy places the organism in Eukaryota, Metazoa, Chordata, Lepidosauria, Squamata, Elapidae.
CACUGCCAUUGAUAAGUUAGUAACCCAGUUGUUAAGCGAAUCUGGCUUCCCCAUUGACUUCGCUCGUCAAAAGGUCUCAAAAGGGAAUUACAUAUCACACGGAUAC